CAUAAAUGCCAUUUCUAUCUAUGCUCUUAUCAGCACUGGACCGGAGGACACAGACUGCCCUUCCUUGUCCCUGCGACUACAGCCUCUUUAAAGAAUCUGGGGCCACUGCUUACCAUUGUGCUGUCCUACAGGAAGAUUUUUCUAACAUCCACCAAACCAUACAAAAGAGAGGAUGGCACUAUCUCAACCAUUGGGAGGAGGUGUUCCACAGGGACGAAUGCAUCUUUAUCUCUUUAGGGAGAUACUUCUCCCACCAUAAAGGAUUCUGCCUUGUCUUACUGUGA
This is a long non-coding RNA of Micropterus dolomieu (smallmouth bass), 284 nucleotides long. RefSeq lists it as uncharacterized. The transcript has 2 exons. Lineage: Eukaryota; Metazoa; Chordata; Actinopteri; Centrarchiformes; Centrarchidae. The record is from RefSeq and is a predicted model, not a curated record.